This 492-nucleotide ribosomal RNA is filed under the name uncultured bacterium. RNAcentral's name for it is "partial 16S ribosomal RNA". It matches the Rfam family "Bacterial small subunit ribosomal RNA", at positions 29 to 507 of the family's 1533-position model. The record is from RNAcentral.
AGUGAACGCUGGCGGUAGGCCUAACACAUGCAAGUCGAACGGCAGCACAGUAAGAGCUUGCUCUUGCGGGUGGCGAGUGGCGGACGGGUGAGGAAUACAUCGGAAUCUACUUUUUCGUGGGGGAUAACGUAGGGAAACUUACGCUAAUACUGCAUACGACCUACGGGUGAAAGCAGGGGAUCUUCGGACCUUGCGCGAUUGAAUGAGCCGAUGUCGGAUUAGCUAGUUGGCGGGGUAAAGGCCCACCAAGGCGACGAUCCGUAGCUGGUCUGACAGGAUGAUCAGCCACACUGGAACUGAGACACGGUCCAGACUCCUACGGGAGGCAGCAGUGGGGAAUAUUGGACAAUGGGCGCAAGCCUGAUCCAGCCAUACCGCGUGGGUGAAGAAGGCCUUCGGGUUGUAAAGCCCUUUUGUUGGGAAAGAAAAGCAGCAGGUUAAUACCCCGCUGUUCUGACGGUACCCAAAGAAUAAGCACCGGCUAACUUCGUG